This 460-nucleotide ribosomal RNA is filed under the name uncultured bacterium. Its description in RNAcentral is "SSU rRNA". It matches the Rfam family "Bacterial small subunit ribosomal RNA", at positions 26 to 518 of the family's 1533-position model. The record is from RNAcentral.
AGGAUGAACGCUGGCGGCGUGCCUAACACAUGCAAGUCGAACGAGAAAGUGGAGCAAUCCAUGAGUAAAGUGGCGCACGGGUGAGUAGCACGUGACUAACCUACCCUUGAGUGGGGGAUAACCUCGGGAAACCGGGGCUAAUACCGCAUAAUAUCGAGAGAUCAAAGGAGCAAUUCGCUUAAGGAGGGGGUCGCGGCUGAUUAGCUAGUUGGUGAGGUAAUGGCUCACCAAGGCUAUGAUCAGUAUCCGGCCUGAGAGGGCGCACGGACACACUGGAACUGAAACACGGUCCAGACUCCUACGGGAGGCAGCAGUGGGGAAUUUUGCGCAAUGGGGGAAACCCUGACGCAGCAACGCCGCGUGGAGGAUGAAGUCCCUUGGGACGUAAACUCCUUUCGAUCGGGACGAUAAUGACGGUACCGGAAGAAGAAGCCCCGGCUAACUUCGUGCCAGCAGCCGC